RNAcentral lists this unclassified non-coding RNA (210 nucleotides) under Hevea brasiliensis (rubber tree). The record is from RNAcentral. Lineage: Eukaryota; Viridiplantae; Streptophyta; Magnoliopsida; Malpighiales; Euphorbiaceae.
AAAAGUUCUCUAAGGUACUGGAAUUCUUUCUGGUUAGAUUAUUGUAGUCAAAAGAUUGUUUUGCAUAUAGAAUAAGUUGGUACACUGUCUAUGCCAUUUCCUGGUAAGAUGUUCAUUGUCCUAUAAAGUAAUUGAUGUUAGCGAUGCCUCUCUCAUAUUUAUUAAGAUUCUUAUUAGAGUAUUUCCAGUUGUGAUCAGUCUUUUAAAGAA